RNAcentral lists this long non-coding RNA (3364 nucleotides) under Olea europaea subsp. europaea. The record is from RNAcentral. Lineage: Eukaryota; Viridiplantae; Streptophyta; Magnoliopsida; Lamiales; Oleaceae.
UUACACCCUAAAAUCUCCCAAAACCCCUAAAACCAGCCAAUUAGAAAGAGAAACCACAGAUCUCACUCUCCUCUAAUCUCUCUACGACGCCGCCCGGUGCCCUAGCCCUCACUCUCGUGUCUCGCCGCCUUCCACCACUGACCACCGGUGCUCCUCACUCUCGCCUCCAAGGACCCAAAUCAAUAUAUUUCUGUAAGGACUUGUUUUCUUUUCUUCUUCUAUUUUUAUUUAUUUAUUUAUUUAUUUUUUUGUUAACGACGUAUGUUUUCUGAUUUUAUGUUUAUAUGGGUUGGUGAUAGAUUGUUAAUUGAAAUAUCUAGAUUAAAAUGAUAUUAGCUUUGAUUUUGAUUUUUGAUUCAAGUUAAGUUCUCCUAUUGAAGUACGUUUUUCAUCUGUGAGGAUGAUUGUGUGAGAAUUGACGUGGUGGAAGUGGAGCGUUGAAUAGAUAGGUUUAAAUUUAUCUGUUGAUGAAAUGGGAUUCAUGGCAUUAAGGUUUAUUGAUUGAGUUUGGAUGGUGGUUAAAUAACUGCAAGAUUUAGAUUCUCAUGUAUCCUUGUGCUAUUGCAUCAUUGUCAACCACGGAAAAUAUUCAAUGUUCCAAUUGCUACUCCAUUUCCGGACUUAAGUAACCAAUGACCUAAAUGGUGAUGGAUUAAUAUUUUGUGUAGAUGUAGAGAGGUGAUUAAUGAAUGCAUAUCCUACUAACAUAUGGAGUUGUUUCCCAUUUGGUUAUGGGUUUUGUUUUCACUGUCAUUCCACUUUGCAUUAGACGAAUUAGAUUUGUUGUUGCAUAUACCUACCAAUUAAGAAAUCCCUUGAUCAAGAACUACUGGGAACUACCAAUCUUGUAUUUUUAAAUGAUCAAGUGAUGAACUACUGGGAACUGCCAAUCAUGUGUAUGCACAAUGUUUAAGCAGAUGCCCCCGUCAAAGCCUGUCUCUUCUGGUUAAAUCCUUCAAGGUAAUAUGCGCAAUGUUUAAGCAGAUGCUCCUGUCAAAGCUUGUCUCUUCUGGUAAAGUCCUUCAAGGCAGCCUAUUACAUGAAAUUUGGGACCCCAAUUCCAGUCACAAAGCACCAACUUAAUGGCAAAAAAGGCCAAAACACGACAUCAAAGUGAACGAAUAUAUACCCAAUCAACCAUACAUAAUAUGUUGUCAGUGUACAUGCCAAAAUCAUUUAUGUUGAUCUUUGCUUGCUUGACGACUUAAAUAUAGCUACAGAAUUAUGUUGCAUUCAUUAUACUUUCAAAAAACUAAAGAAAUCAUAACCAGAUAAUAAAUGAUAUUUUCACUUGAACUUACAAGACAUAUAAUGUCUGGUGAAAUGACAAAUAACAAACACCUAAAAUAACACCAAACAUAAUCAUCAGAUCCUCUCGUCCCCUCUAUGGUGCUGUAUAAGUAACUUCACGGUUUGUUUAUUCUUCAUGGACAGCUAUAUUUUGCACUUCCCUGAUCAGUCUUCUUGGUAGUCCGGUUAUUUUUUCUGGCAAGUGAUUCCUUGACAUAAUCAUACAUGUCAUAGACUGGCUUCAAUACGCUUCCAAGUACUCCAGUACUUUGGUUCAAUUUCUUUGUUUACAAUGAUAUUGAGGCUUGUCCUCGAACUCAAUUUCUUCAUGUUGCCUUCUUUGUUCAUUUUAUGGAGUUCUUCUAUAGCCACCCAAGCUGUAGACUCGGCUCUCUCUUCUUUCAUUGCUUGCCUUGAAUCCAUUCUUUCCUCCUUAACACGCUGGAAGGUAAAUUCUCUUAUAUCGAAAGCAAAAUUCCUACUAAAAUAAUAGAUUAUUUUCAGUUCAUUCCUACAUCUGAAAGGUCCAAAUCAACUCAAUCAACAUGUCAUGUUAAUUUGUCAACCUCUUUCUCUUUUUACCUAUUCUACAACCGUUGCUUCUUUAUACGUCCCAGUUGAGACUGCCCGACUAGGAGUCAAAUUUAAUGGCCAAUUGUGCUCCAAAUUUCUAUAUAACAAAGUUUGUGGACAUCAAAAUCCUAAGCCGCCAACUACUAACAGGGCCUUUUUCAAACUUUGCCCAUAUCAGCAUAAAUACUUAUGAAUAGCCUGUUGAACCAUAUUGAAGGCCAUCAGAGAUAAUCUUCAAUUGAAAUGCUCAAUUGUCAUGAUCAUCUAGCCUAAAAUACCCAUUAUCAGAACUCCUCGAGACUAAAAUUGUGCAUCAAUGACCAAAACCAACUCCAUAUCAGUUACUCAACCACAAACCAAAUAUUCAGUGCAAUUUAGAUCACACUUUCAGUGCAGACGCUGGUUGAAAUUUUGGGCGAAAUCGAUGGGUUAGCCUUAGGGUUUGGGGCUCCAUUUUGGGGAUUUUGAUUCCACUGCAAAUUGAUGAAUUUAUCUUUUGUGAGAACGAAGGCAUGUUUGAUUUCAUAUUUAUGGUAAAGGCGUGUUUGGUAAUUGUUGAUGUGGAGCUGAUUUGGCAAUUUACUUACCAUUUGAAGACAUUUAACUGGACAUCUCAUUUUUCCGUUCGCCAUGUCAGCAAAUCUACUAACGGAUCCCACUCGGUGAGUGAUGGAGUGAGAUGGAGCAAAGUUCAGUAACCAAUGGGACUUUUCAUGAAGUUCGGUGUGCAAGUCGUGACAUGGUGCAAAGUUCAGUAGCCAUUGAAACAUUAACUCCUUGAACAUGGACUCAUCCACCCCCAAUAAUUGACUCUGGGCUAUCAAGGCCAAAAAUGGGGGCAAAUUCCCAACCCACAAGAAGAAAUCUGUAGCCGUAGAGCUAGUUGCCGAGAAGGCACCCAAAUUCUUCCCAACUGAUGAUGUCAAGAAGCAACUUUCCAACAAGCGCAAGCACAAACCCGCAUGACUUAGGCCAUCUCCAACACUUCACCAAAUUUUGCACAAAAUCUUGCACCAAACCAAAAUUCUUCUCCAAUUAUUACAUCAAAACUUUCACCAAAUGAACAGUGCUUUAUAAUUUUAUUCAUUCUUUUGAUUUUUGACAAUGUAUUUAUUUUAAAAAAAUUAUUUAUUUAUUUGAUUUUCUCUUCAUUCUUCUUUACAUUUUUAACUGUUGAUUCUUCCAAUUUUCUUGAUUAUUUUUGUAUGUGGCCAUCUAUUGUGUUUUGAAACUCCUAAAAAAUUUGAGGUUUUGAGAAGAUGAUGGUCUAUUUUGUUUUCCUUUUUAUUUUAAUUUAGGAUUUAUAGUAUAUUUGGUGGUGGCGUAUUUUUAAUUGUUCAUUUACUGCUUUAUGUUCAAGUCUAAAAAUUGGGGUUGUACUUUGAUAAUUUUUUAACAUUGCUUAAAUCCCCUUUCCUUGCUGUAAUGGUCUCUCUAUUAUCUACUAUACACAAUGUUUGUCUUUUAAAUGUAAUUGUAUGAGUGAAUUUAGAAUUGACUU